Molecule: long non-coding RNA, 819 nt
Organism: Ooceraea biroi (clonal raider ant)
Lineage: Eukaryota; Metazoa; Arthropoda; Insecta; Hymenoptera; Formicidae
Source: RefSeq, a predicted model, not a curated record
AAUUCUUCCUUUUCGUCGUCGUCGGCGCUGAGGACGAACGCCGAGAAUCGCCGCGGCAAGAGCGUACUCGCUCGGGCGCACAAUGAGCCUCCCCUUCGCGUGUUAAAGCGAGAGUCCGUCGUCGUCGUGAGGAAACGCGCCCGGUACGACGUACGUCGAGAAUCGCCAAUGUCGUCGCAAUUAAAUUCAUAUUGUUGCAAGCGUUUCAAAGCGAUCCGUUAAUAACACGCUUGCUGCGGCGACGAUGGCACGAAGAUGGGCUUCGUUCGUUUCUUCGAGCGUGGACACUGUGAAAUUACCGAUUAUUUUCUUCGCGAGAAUGUCAUUUUAACGAAAAGGAAUUUUCUUGUUGUUAUAACUAAUAAUUGCCCGUAGUCACGUUGGCUGUAGGAGCGUUAACUACGUCGAUACGCCGCGGUUUUUUUCAAGUCGCUGGCAGCGGUCGCGGUGUCGCGAAUGAGUCACCCGUCUGCAAUAAAGUCGCAACAAACUAACGCGAAAUUAUAGUUGCAACGAUGCGACUACUUUCCAUAGUUGAUAGUUGCAACCGGUACGAGAACAGCGCAGUAAAAUCGCGUGACGUAGUGGCGGGCACGGUAAUAUCCUUCGUCCCGAUUUCCCCUGCAUCUCGAACGGAGCGGACAAGCGCUAAGCGCUAUUACAAGAAAAGCGACUUUUAUGUAAAACUAAAGUUUGGGGUUUUUUCACGCUUGAGAAGGAUCGAAAUAGUUGGGUCGAAACGUUGCGUGAUUUGUCAUCACUGUAUAACCAGUUUGUGGUCGAAUAAAUAAAUUUCUAUAUAUAUUGAUUCACUGGUGA